This 251-nucleotide ribosomal RNA is filed under the name uncultured bacterium. RNAcentral describes it as "partial 16S ribosomal RNA". It matches the Rfam family "Bacterial small subunit ribosomal RNA", at positions 524 to 775 of the family's 1533-position model. The record is from RNAcentral.
UACGUAGGGGGCAAGCGUUGUUCGGAAUUACUGGGCGUAAAGCGUGCGCAGGCGGUUUGUAAGUUUGUCGUGAAAGCCCCGGGCUCAACCUGGGAAUUGCGAUGAAGACUGCAAGGCUUGAAUCUGGCAGAGGGGGGUAGAAUUCCACGUGUAGCAGUGAAAUGCGUAGAGAUGUGGAGGAACACCGAUGGCGAAGGCAGCCCCCUGGGCUAACACUGACGCUCAGGCACGAAAGCGUGGGGAGCAACAGG